AGGAGUAUAGCUUAGUGAUAGAGUGCAUGUUUGACAUGCACGAGGUCCUGGGUUCAAGCCCCAAUGCCACCA
RNAcentral lists this transfer RNA (72 nucleotides) under Camelus bactrianus (Bactrian camel). It matches the Rfam family "tRNA". Rfam says of the family: Transfer RNA (tRNA) molecules are approximately 80 nucleotides in length. Their secondary structure includes four short double-helical elements and three loops (D, anti-codon, and T loops). Further hydrogen bonds mediate the characteristic L-shaped molecular structure. tRNAs have two regions of fundamental functional importance: the anti-codon, which is responsible for specific mRNA codon recognition, and the 3' end, to which the tRNAs corresponding amino acid is attached (by aminoacyl-tRNA synthetases). tRNAs cope with the degeneracy of the genetic code in two manners: having more than one tRNA (with a specific anti-codon) for a particular amino acid; and 'wobble' base-pairing, i.e. permitting non-standard base-pairing at the 3rd anti-codon position. Lineage: Eukaryota; Metazoa; Chordata; Mammalia; Artiodactyla; Camelidae. The record is from Rfam by way of RNAcentral. RNAcentral also lists the same sequence under 2 other names.